AACGUAGGACGCAAGCGUUAUCCCGAGUUACUGGGCGUAAAGCGCGGGCAGGCGGCUUGUCAAGUGGGAUGUGAAAUCGCACAGCUAAACUGAGCGAGGCCAUUCCAAACUGAUGGGCUGGAGGGCAGUAGAGGUAGGCGGAAUUCCGGGUGGAGUGGUGAAAUGCGUAGAGAUCCGGAGGAACACCAGAGGCGAAGGCGGCCUACUGGGCUGCACCUGACGCUGAGCCGCGAAAGCCAGGGGAGCGAACGGG
RNAcentral lists this ribosomal RNA (253 nucleotides) under uncultured bacterium. Its description in RNAcentral is "partial 16S ribosomal RNA". It matches the Rfam family "Bacterial small subunit ribosomal RNA", at positions 524 to 776 of the family's 1533-position model. The record is from RNAcentral.